This 468-nucleotide ribosomal RNA is filed under the name uncultured bacterium. RNAcentral's name for it is "partial 16S ribosomal RNA". It matches the Rfam family "Bacterial small subunit ribosomal RNA", at positions 28 to 507 of the family's 1533-position model. The record is from RNAcentral.
GACGAACGCUGGCGGCGUGCUUAACACAUGCAAGUCGAACGGAAAGGCCCUGCUUUUGUGGGGUGCUCGAGUGGCGAACGGGUGAGUAACACGUGAGUAACCUGCCCUUGACUUUGGGAUAACUUCAGGAAACUGGGGCUAAUACCGGAUAGGAGCUCCUGCUGCAUGGUGGGGGUUGGAAAGUUUCGGCGGUUGGGGAUGGACUCGCGGCUUAUCAGCUUGUUGGUUGGGCAGUGGCUUACCAAGGCUUUGACGGGUAGCCGGCCUGAGAGGGUGAGCGGACAGAGUGGAAGUAUGGUUCGGCCCAGACUCCUACCGGGGACAGCAGUCGGGAAUAGUGCAGAACGGGCGGGGCCCGGAUGAAGCAGCGGCGCGAACGGAAUGAGGACGGUCAGGUUGUAACCCGCGUGAGCGUGUCACGGUGCGUUGGGGGGCAUGGUGGGAAAGUAGGCACCAGCUGGCUACGUG